CUGCUCAUUUCAGCGGUACAUAUACUAAAAUUGGGACAAUUCAGAGAUUAGCAUGGUCCCUGCAUAAAGAUGAUAUGCAAAUUUAUGAAGAGUUUCAUAUUUAU
Vulpes vulpes (red fox) is the source of this 104-nucleotide small nuclear RNA. NCBI's taxonomy places the organism in Eukaryota, Metazoa, Chordata, Mammalia, Carnivora, Canidae. The record is from Ensembl.